ACUUAUACUGACAACAUGUAUAUGCUUUUCUUUAGCUUAUCUCAUCAGAACUCCACAGUUAAGUGUGCUUGACUUGGAGUAAUACAGGGAUGGGUGACCUUCUGGGAAGUUUCCCAGAAACUGUGUAAGUA
This is a non-coding RNA of Cajanus cajan (pigeon pea), 131 nucleotides long. The record is from Rfam. NCBI's taxonomy places the organism in Eukaryota, Viridiplantae, Streptophyta, Magnoliopsida, Fabales, Fabaceae.